This 65-nucleotide transfer RNA is filed under the name Pityopsis falcata. Its description in RNAcentral is "tRNA-Lys". Lineage: Eukaryota; Viridiplantae; Streptophyta; Magnoliopsida; Asterales; Asteraceae. The record is from RNAcentral.
GGGUUGCUAACUCAAUGGUAGAGUACUCGGCUUUUAAGUGCGGCUCCGACUAGUUCCGGGUUCGA